GCAAACUUGGUCAUUUAGAGGAAGUAAAAGUCGUAACAAGGUUUCCGUAGGUGAACCUGCGGAAGGAUCAUCAUCGAUUACUUCAUACCCAACGCGCCAUCUCCGGCGCGUUGGGUCAAUGAUAAACCCUCCUGUGCACCGUAUACCGUUCACUUUGGCUGGCUUUGGUGGCGAAUACCUCGUUCGCUCCCAACCACACCCCGCCCCUGCUCCCCCUAAGAAGGGAUGCGCGCGCGCGUGUGGCGGCCCGCCAGAGUCCUCCUGAAAAACUCGUUUUUUCGAACUUGACUGAAAUUCUCCUUUGAGAAAUCAAAGAAUACGAAAACAACUUUCAACAACGGAUCUCUUGGCUCUCGCAUCGAUGAAGAACGCAGC
This 375-nucleotide unclassified non-coding RNA is filed under the name uncultured fungus. RNAcentral's name for it is "partial contains small subunit ribosomal RNA, internal transcribed spacer 1, and 5.8S ribosomal RNA". The stretch from base 1 to 73 matches the Rfam family "Eukaryotic small subunit ribosomal RNA", at positions 1759 to 1831 of the family's 1831-position model. Lineage: Eukaryota; Fungi. The record is from RNAcentral.